RNAcentral lists this long non-coding RNA (2822 nucleotides) under Brassica napus (rape). RNAcentral describes it as "long non-coding RNA (BNAP_LNC000488)". Lineage: Eukaryota; Viridiplantae; Streptophyta; Magnoliopsida; Brassicales; Brassicaceae. The record is from RNAcentral.
CGAGUUCUUGCUUGAGAGCUUGAUUUUGAUCUAAGGGUUAGUGUUUGCUAACCUUAGUGAUUUCCGACUGCGUCAAGUGGUAUCAGAGCAAGGUCUUCUCCUUCUCUUUUCGAAGCUUGAUCAGCCAUGGGUGAUCAACCAGUAACCAAAGCCGACUUCGAGGGUUUCGCAGAAGGUUUAAGGGAGGCAACCACAAACCUCACUGCUGUAACUGCUCAAUUGGCAAAUCUGGUAACUGCGUUAAAUAAUCAGGUUGUGGCUUAUCCCAAUCAGGUUAAUAACGCCGGUCAAAGAGGUGGAGAAAGAAGACCAAUUCGGGGUCAACAAGGUCGAAACAAUCGUGAUGUUGUUGUUGAUAAUUCUAGUUCAGAAGAAGAAUCAGAAGAAGAAAUAGCUGAAGGAAACCUACAAAACAAUUAUGAUUAUCGGGUAAAAGCCGAUAUUCCAUUGUUUUAUGGAACUAUGGGAGUGGAGAAGUUUCUUGAUUGGCAAAUUGAUGUUGAUCGAUUUUUUGAUGUCAUGGGCGUUCCUGAGAAUAAACAAGUUAAGAUGGUAGCUGUCAAACUGAAGAAGACUUCUGCAGUGUGGUGGGAUAAACUCGUUGUCCAAAGGCAAAGACAAAGGAGAGGACCAGUUAGGACUUGGCGUCGAGUGAAGCAAUUAAUGCUGGAGCGAUUCUUAGCGGAAGAUUACGAACAAAUUCUUUACAAGAUGUAUCUCGAUUGUGUUCAAGGAAACAGAAGUGUGACCGAGUACACAGCUGAAUUCUUGCGUUUCUCUGAACGCAAUGAGUUAGGCGAAACAGAGAAUCAGAAGGUGGCUAGGUACAUCAGUGGGUUAAAGGGUUCUCUUCAGGGAAAGAUGGGUUUGCAAACCGUAUGGACCGUGCAGGAAGCUUCCAGUCUAGCAUUAAAAGCUGAGUUAAUGGAGAAGUCAUCACGCGGGUUCUCAACAUUUAGAAGAAACACGGCUCAGACCAAUUUUGAACCAACAAGUGAGAAAGAAAAGAGUGUAGCCAAUAAAGACUCCAAUCCGGGAAACAAAGGAGCUAGUAGCUCUAAUUCAACCCAACAGAACAAGGCACCAGCUCAGAGACAAAACAAUCCUUAUGCUAAGCCUUCCAUUGACAAGUGUUUCCGUUGCCAAGGACAUGGUCAUAAAUCAAAUGUCUGUCCAAGUCGGAGAACAGUUGCUAUAAUAGAGGAAGAAGAUGAAGAGGAUGAAAGGGAUUUCGCUGAGAAUGAAGAAUAUGAGGGAGCUGAAUUCGCUGAAGAAGAAUCUGGAGAGAUGAUAAACCUUGUGCUGCAACGAGUCUUGUUAUCAUCUAAAGAAGAAGGCCAACGUAAGAAUUUGUUUAGAACACAUUGUUCUAUUCAAAACAAGGUGUGUAAUGUGAUUGUGGAUAAUGGAAGCUCAGAGAAUUUAGUUUCUCAAAAGCUGGUGGACUAUCUGAAGCUACCCACAACCCGUCAUGAGAAACCGUACGGUCUUGGUUGGGUGAAGAGAGGAUCACAAGUUCGAGUUAGCAUGACUUGCAAAGUUCUCAUAUCUAUAGGUAAACAUUAUAAGGAGGAGAUCACUUGUGACGUUCUUGACAUGGAUGUUUGUCACAUUCUUCUUGGACGACCUUGGCAGUAUGAUAACGAUAUCACAUAUCGAGGUCGAGACAAUGUGAUAAUGUUUACGUGGGGCAACCAUAAAAUUGCCAUGGCACCUGUUAAGGAUUUUUGUAACACUACGAAGGAAAAGAAGUCAAGUUUCUUGGUUAUGACACAUGACGACAAAGAGCUUGAUGGGGAUGUUCAAGAAGCAAAGUGUUUCUAUCCCUUGGUUGUUAAAGGGUUGUUGAGUGCAGCAACGGAGGAAACGUCAACCCCACGAGAAGUGUUAGAAAUUCUGGAUGAUUUCAAAGAGUUGAUUGCGGAAGAACUUCCUAAUGAUCUACCUCCCAUGAGAGAUAUUCAGCAUCAUAUUGACUUGAUUCCAGGAUCCAGUCUGCCAAAUCUUCCCCAUUACCGUAUGAGCCCUAAGGAGAAUGAGAUUUUAAGGGAACAGAUUGAAGAUUUGCUGAGAAAAGGAUUUAUUCGUGAGAGCAUGAGUCCAUGUGCCGUACCGGUUCUGCUAGUUCCUAAGAAAGGUAACCAGUGGCGGAUGUGUGUUGAUAGUAGAGCCAUUAAUAAGAUAACCAUUAAAUAUCGAUUCCCUAUACCCCGGUUGGAAGAUAUUCUUGAUGAGUUGUCAGGUUCUAAGGUGUUUUCAAAGAUAUGUUUAAGGGAGGCAACCACAAACCUCACUGCUGUAACUGCUCAAUUGGCAAAUCUGGUAACUGCGUUAAAUAAUCAGGUUGUGGCUUAUCCCAAUCAGGUUAAUAACGCCGGUCAAAGAGGUGGAGAAAGAAGACCAAUUCGGGGUCAACAAGGUCGAAACAAUCGUGAUGUUGUUGUUGAUAAUUCUAGUUCAGAAGAAGAAUCAGAAGAAGAAAUAGCUGAAGGAAACCAACAAAACAAUUAUGAUUAUCGGGUAAAAGCCGAUAUUCCAUUGUUCUAUGGAACUAUGGGAGUGGAGGAGUUUCUUGAUUGGCAAAUUGAUGUUGAUCGAUUUUUUGAUGUCAUGGGCGUUCCUGAGAAUAAACAAGUUAAGAUGGUAGCUGUCAAACUGAAGAAGACUGCUGCAGUGUGGUGGGAUAAACUCGUUGUCCAAAGGCAAAGACAAAGGAGAGGACCAGUUAGGACUUGGCGUCGAAUGAAGCAAUUAAUGCUGGAGCGAUUCUUACCGGAAGAUUACGAACAAAUUCUUUACAAGAUGUAUCUCGAUUGUGUUCA